GUGGUACUGGCGUAGUGGUAAACGCAUCUGGCUACUUCGCAAGAAGGAGAAUUCAAUUAAUUGAAUCUCACAGUCCCAGGAGACAGCGGUUCGAAUCCGUUGCACUACA
This 109-nucleotide transfer RNA is filed under the name Pseudogymnoascus destructans 20631-21. RNAcentral describes it as "Geomyces destructans 20631-21 tRNA". It matches the Rfam family "tRNA". Rfam says of the family: Transfer RNA (tRNA) molecules are approximately 80 nucleotides in length. Their secondary structure includes four short double-helical elements and three loops (D, anti-codon, and T loops). Lineage: Eukaryota; Fungi; Ascomycota; Leotiomycetes; Thelebolales; Thelebolaceae. The record is from Rfam by way of RNAcentral.